This is a non-coding RNA of Miniopterus natalensis, 4977 nucleotides long. The record is from RefSeq and is a predicted model, not a curated record. Lineage: Eukaryota; Metazoa; Chordata; Mammalia; Chiroptera; Miniopteridae.
UGAAAUCAAUAAAGAUAUAUUUAAAAACAAAAACCCCCACAACUUAGUUUUAAAAAAAAAGAAAAGGAAGUUGGGUUGUGAUGUUGGAAGGGCAGACUGAGUUGGAUGUCACUGGAAAUUCUUUCGCAUGGUAUGUUCUCUGCAGCAUGUGCUGCUUUUCCUGAGUGUGCUCUUUCUUUCCCUUCCAUCUUCCAAGUCUGCUUGAUGAGCUGUGCUUCUUAGCUUAAAUAUGUACUUUGGUGUCUGUAGAAGCAAAAUGCGUAACUACAUUUUAGGUGUCUGGGGAGAGUCAUAAUGUUACUGCCCCACAUGCCAAGGCUUUUUUAUAGAAAACGCAGCUCUCCUCAUACGAUGUUUCCUGCGCUUACCCUCUUUGUCGCCCAUGAGCCGGUGUGAAGGGACUGUGAGGUAGACAUCAUGCACUGCCUCAAGGGGAUUCCUGACCCGUUCAGCCCACAUUAGUGGUGAGUUCUUCCAGAGCGAGAAGAGGCUGCUUUGAAAGGCCUUCAGAGUCUAGGCCCCUAACCUAGAGUGUGGAAUGCUUUUGUGAAUACAAAGACUGUCUUCCUUGGUGAGAAUCUAGGAACAGCCUCCCUUUCUUUCUUUCUCUUUCUCUCUCUUUCAUCUAUUAUUUUUUUUAAAUUGUUUUGUUUUUAUGUGUGUGUGUUUGUAUUUUAUCUCGUACGUGAUGGUGAUGGGAAGUGUUGGUUUGGAAAUGAGCUAUUAAAUUUUUCACCCAUUUUAUUCAGCUUUAUGUUUAGAAAAAUAAAAUUGAGUCAUUUUGAAUUACUGCUUCAAAAAAACUCUUCAGAUAAUUAGUGUUUGAGUUUUGAUUAAUUUUAAGUAAACCAUGAUUUUUCUAUAAGGAUACUAAGGUGUGUUACUUACGGUUUUUUUUUUUCUUUUGGGCAAACAGAUUAACCAGAUUUUUUUUUUUUUGGUCUUUUUCUUAUUGAAUAUAUAUAUUUUAAUGGUUUAUCCCCUUUUCUACCCUAAAAGGAACAUUAAGGAUGUAACUGAACCUUUCUUUGAGGUUUGAGGAUCUUACUGUGCUACAGGGUCACUGUUCUGAGGAUGAGUCCUGAUUGUACAUUAUAGAACUGUAAGUGGGGACAGAGCCAGAGAUUGGACUAGAUCCGUCCUGAUCCCGUCUUGGAAAUUAUUGCGGUUUUUGUUUUCUUUUAUCCAUAAUAGCAGUAUGUUUUGUUAUUUUUCCCUUAUUCUUCAAGUUGCAAGUAGCAGAAUAGAAAUUCACUUUAAUCAUUUGAUUCUGAUUAAUUGAGGUUUUUACUUUAUGGGAAAAUUUCAACCCAAGCCUAGAGCCAUAAUUUUUUCUCUGGAGUUGUAGAGGAUGCAAAAUCAUUCUCAGAUAUUCGGGAGGGCUAUUGUAUUCACAAAUAAGCUAUGCACUGUAGUAUUGGUAGCAUUGUGUAAGUACUCCCCUGUAUGAUAGUAGAUAGAAAUGCCAGCUAAUUUUGCCUCUUGCUCAGAUAUGUUCAAGGCAUAUCUUUGGUAAAGUGUUCCAUAAAUCUGGAAAGUUAGGAAAUUCAAGGGUUAGAAGGAAGAUGUCAAAGAAUAUCAAUAAAGAACACUUAGAUUCCCCCCAAAGAAACUCUUUUUCCAAGCCUAGGCCUGUGUUCCCUGGGCCAGUAAGGAAGGCAUCCCUGGGACCACACGGGCAGAGGCUAACUUUCCCAGGGCCCUCCCACUCAACUUAAUGAUAAUCUGUGGUUAUCUUUUGAUAUCUUGGAUGCCAUAGUGUUGGGAAUUCAGCUUGGGAGUCUUGCUCUUCUUUUGCGACGUCCCAAUUACUUAUUUAGUUUUUGCUUUUGUAGUAAAAACAUCAAGGAGAUUGUGUAAAGAAAUCCUUAGAAGCAGGGAUCAGGGCAUGGUGAGGAAUACCUGUGCAGGAGCCAUGGUUGAGGCAGGCUGACUGUGCUCUGGUUUUUACAUGCUAAUGUUAACAGGAAUUAUAGGUAACAAUUCCCUUGUGCUGAUGGAAGAACAUUUUUUCCCCCUAACAGAUGUUUAUGGCCCUAACUGACACGUCAUUAUUGCAAACUGUCUUAUCAUAUUACGUGCUCUGGCACAUUGACAAUGCGUGGCGCUGUGGUUUCCUGGUGAUUAUCUUGUCCACAGAGCUAAGGCUUUGGUGGCCAGCUGGGGAACCCUUUACAGUGUCCCCUGACAGCUGAGAGUGCAAGUACCCACAUCCUUGAAAGGACUGAAGGACUCCAGGCUGCCCCAGUGCUGUGUUCUCUGAAGCUCAGUCAGAGGCUGGCAGUGAGCAGGAAGAAAUAUGGUAUAGAAGAUGUAUCAGCUCCCAGCCCCGCGUCAUCUCUCAUAGUGCGGUUGGGCAUUUGAGUUUUGAUAAUGAACUAACAGUUUUUAAAUUAUUAGGAAGUUCCUAGGUCCAUGACCAGACUAUAAUAGGUGAAACUCUUUGGGGUACAAGGAAGGGUGCCACUUAGUCUACGAUCCUCAAGCCUGUGAAAGAGGCAGCACACUGUUAAAAAUACCUGGCUUACUUUGGGGGAGGAUUUGGCUGAAUACUGAUGAAGUUUAUGAAAUAUGAAUGCAGCGAAGUUGCUGUACGUAAGUGGUAGGCGUGUGUGAAAGAAGUAAGAAGAAAUAAAAUUGUGUAUAAAUGACACUCUGAAACUUGAUGGAAUUGUAUACGUGACAAGAAUGGUGACAUUUGGGUCUGUGCUUAAUGGGGGAAAAUAAACUGGCUUAAAACCUAUAUGUCAAACUAGAUGUGGGGAUGAAAAUUACUGAAUAUGAAAUCAUUUGACUUAUUUUAUAAGCAAAGAAUGCCACUAAGGAUAAACAGGCAGGCUGCAAAAAACAGAGGUGGAACAGAAUAGGGGGGGAAAUGAGGGACCAACACUUAAAUUUGUAAUGAGGUAUGGUAAUCACUGUUUUAACUAAUCCAGAAUAUUAACGGUGCUGCUAGGUAGAGAAUUAGUUAUAGCCAAGCAAAAGGCAUAAAUAUGAAUUUUAGGUUGUUUUGGGAGAAAUCCUCUUGAUCCCCAAAGUAUAAAUGCAUGUACUGAGAAGCAAAGCUGCACGCGAUGUAAUUUUUUCUGUCUUAUCCUGAUUAAUUGACAGCCACUGUAUGCCUCUUUCCUGAAGGUGACUUUACAAUCUCCAGACACAGACAUUUCUCUCAGAAGUGGAGUGAAGGAAGAACCACAAGCUAAAGUGUGAUUCGCUGGUGAAAAGAGGAAAAGUUGACACUUUGAGAAGUUAUGAUGAACUUGUCGAGAAUGCCAAUUGACAAAGGCAGUUUUAAAGAAACCUGAAGAACUGGACAAAGACGGAGAAAAGACCACCAGAUGUGAUUCUGCCCUUCCAGAAGAUCAUCCCAUACAAUCAAUGCCAGUCAUGGGGAGGAGCUAGAAGUUAAUGGAUUUUCAACAUACAGAUCACAGAAGAAACAGGAUAUAUUUAGCAAGUCUACAAACUCUUCAAUAAACUGCAUUGCUUUUUGUUUUCACUGUACAGUUAUAAAACCAGUGGAUGGUAAGAAGGCCACAGUAUAGCAUGUACUCCUAGGAACAAACAUUUGUGUGAUGGGGACGUUAUGUCUGAACAGACAGGGCAACGGGGAGGGUGAACUGCUCAUAACUCUCAAUUGUCCAGGUAAUGAAGCAUUGGGAAAGCAGAGGCAAAUGAAAUCCUUCGAUAAUCAAAAGUGAUUCUUCUUUUAGUGACUGUGUUAGUUGACUGAUGAUGACAAGUGAGAAAUGGCCAGAGGUGUAUUUUACCAUUUCUGGCACUCACGAACCACUCCUGAUGAACACAGUUAUGCAGAAAGUGGACAGUUUCUAUAGACCUGGCUGUCAACCCAGAAGAUGUAAAAUUUCACAGUGUGAAGGAUGAAGGUUGAAGAUUAGUGAGGUUCUACGACUUCCAUGAGGCCCUGCAGAGAAUCAGCAGGAGAACUGAUGCUACUCUGAAAGGGCUCUUGAAAUUUCUAAAGCUCGCAUUCUAAUCUUGAGCUUGGGGGUGUAUGUUACAUAUGCAGUGCUUACUCUAUGAUAAUAUAUAAUAGAAAUAGCUACAGAUAUAUGGUGCUGCCACUGCUUAUGUUUUAUUAGAAUAAAGCCUGGCUGAGCCAGAAGGGGCCUGUGAAUCAGCUGGCCUGGCCUCUUGUUUAAACUGAUACCCCGAGAUCUAACAAUGCGUGUGAGGCCUCGCUCCUAGUGCACAGUGAGGCUGUGACUGCAGCACUAGUCUUCCACUUCCUUACCUAAUAUUAGUUCCUUCCACUUGUGUGCUGUGCCAGGAUGCUCAGAAGCUCCAGUACGGUGCAACAUGGAGUUCCUGCCUCCCGGAAACCCCCCGAGGAUACUAAGAUGCACAUGAGUUAAUCUAGCACUCGGCAGUGGAUAUGUAUGAAAGAAAGUGUGAGGUAUUUUGGCUGUUUAUCAAUAGCGGAACAUUGUCAGUAAUUGUUAUGUUUUUAAAAUUCCACUGGUCAUUUUCAUUUUUAAUUAAAAAUUAGCCAGAGAGCUUGCAGCUGUGCCAGUAAAGCCGUUCUAAAGCACAGCAAAAAUAGUGCUUGCGUGUCAUGGUCUGGCUUAGUGGAAAGUAAAAUACAGGACAUGGAGUUGAGCGUCUUGUAGUCAGUGCUUGCCGGAGUUAGACGCAGCCAGGGGUGCAGUGGGAGAGGAUGUAUCUCCGCCACAGUCCUCUUGCAAGGCAGACGGUUUAAAGUUGUGCCUUUUAUGAGGUGCUCAAGAGCAAGUCUGCAAGUGGAAUACUACAUAGCCAGUGAAAAUCAUAUUGUACUAGAAGAAAAAUAUUUAUUAACGGGAAAAUGUUUAUAAUCUAUUGCUUAGUGAAAAGUCCCAGCUUCCAUAGUGUUGUGCACAGAACGGUAUCCUCUUUGUAAAAACUACAGUGUGUGUAUGUGUAUACAUGUGUAUAUAAUACACACACGAUAUUUGAAUAUAUGUGUGUAUGUGUAUA